CGAUAAAAGUUUCAUAAUCCCUGAAAAAGGCAUAUCUCGCUUCUCUCAGUCAUGCUCAAUGCUCAUACAGAUACGAAACCCACGCUCACCCACAGAGGCUCUACAGUUUGCAGUCUUGUCUCUCAUCUCUUGAAAUGAUGAGCAAACAAAGUCAUGAAAGUGCCUGAAUAGGGAACAGAACAAAGAAAGCCUAGCAAGAAUCGCAAAUGUUCCCGGAGCAAUAUUCGCCAACAAAGUUUCAUGGGUCAGCUGUGCAGGAGUGUUUUUGCAACAGACAAACGAUGGUCGUCCACAUCCACAAUGACAAUCCUGGGUGCCCCAAAAGCACAAGCUAAAAGCAUUGUGACAAGUCCAAUGGGACCUGCUCCCAUGAUCAGCACAUUUUUUUCUGGUCCAACACUAGCUUGGCGACAAGCAUGAACAGCAACACUCAGGGGUUCACACAUUGCCCCCUCCUCCAUGCUCACAUUGUCUGGCAGUUUAAAGCAUAGGUCUGCAGGAUACACUAUCUACCAAAAGAAAAGUUCAGCUCAAACAUUUUGAAUUCUAUCCUUCACCAUAUUAUAGCUAUUAAAUUGGGGCCACAAUGUGAGCAACUGAUUCCAGGCUCAAUUACCACACGGUCACCAGGUACGAGAUUCUUAACCUCACUACCAACUUCCUCUAUGAUCCCUGCACAUUCAUGGCCAAUCACCAUUUGUUCUUUCACUAUAAAAUCUGCUAUUCUCAUUGUCUGCAAAUGCAUAGAAUAGAAACUUGUUACUGGAAAGAAUAUAGAUUAAUGAGCGCAAUAAUUUAUGACUCGAGCAACGAUAAUUAUUGCUUAUAUACUUUUUGUUGUGACAUGAUUCUUAUGCGGAAGAAAAAUGUUUACCUUGAGGUAGUGAACAUCACUGCCACAGAUGCCAACAGCUUUCAUUCGAAUUUUGACAUCAUAUGGACCUUCCAAUAGGCAAAGAGAAGCAAGUCAAUGAAAUUGAGAAGGAAUUCACUGAUAAGUGAAUAUUAGUAACUUGGGAAAAUUUCAGCGAGGGAUCCUUGACAAAAGAUAAUGAAAAAGAUGACCUCUGAAUUUUUGAAAUUUCACUGAAGGACCUAUACAGAAUUUUGUUUGAAUUUGUGAUAGAAAUGACAAAAUUAUCCUCAUUUAAAUGAACAAUAUAAACGAUUUGUUCGUUUCCAUAUUGUAUGUUAUUCAUUUACUUACGGAAUGUUGUUUGUUUUCUUACUUCACUUGUUUAUAGCUUUAGCUUUACUUGAUUUCAUUCCAAGUGUUGGUUUUAUGAUAAAAUCACUUAUUUGUUCCCAUACUGUAUGUAAUUUAUUUACUUACGGAAUGUUGUUCGUUUCCUUACUUUUCUUGUUUAUGGUUCUGGAAUGAAAUCAAAUGAAAGCAAGACCAUAAACAAGCGAAAUAGGAACAUGAAUAAUAUUCUAUAAGUAAACGAAUAACAUAUAGUAUGGGAAUGAAUAAGUCAUUUAUGUUAUUCAUUUAAAUAAAGGCAAUUUUGUCAUUUUCGUCACAAAUUCAAAUGAAAAUCCGUACGAGUCCUUAAGUGAAAUUUCAGAAAUUCAAGGGUCCUCUUUUUCAUUUUCUCUUAUUAAGGGUCCCCCAUUGAAAUUUUUCCUAGUAAUUUUAACCUUGGAAGAAAAUAGAGUUACUCAAAGGGAGAAUAAUAUAUAGCCAGAGUAGGGAGCUUGAAAGGCUAAAUCUUGAGGGUGUUUAUGCCAACAAGCCAUUGCCCAUAUUUUCUUCUUCCCCAGAGCUUCACCACCUUUACCCAUUUGCUUUCUACAACUCUCUUCCCUGACUCGCCAAAAUGAAAGACAGAGAAACAGUAGCGCCGGUGGGGCUUCUAGCUGAUCACUACAGAACAUGAAUUUUAUGAUAUUUAUAUGCAAGUCUCUUUCUAUUUCAGUGCAUAUGAAUCAGCCGCUCUCAUCCAUAUGUAUCUAUCUGAUGUGUUUCUUCAUAUUCAUAAAUUCAUAUACGAAUCAGAUUCAGAUGCAUCGCUGCGUGUGGCUCAUCAGUCAAAAGGUGAGCUAUUUCAAACCAUAUUAGACUCAUUGCACAACUAUGGAUAGGUUAAUUGUUGAUGAUGAUGGAAAUACUACUGAUACGACCUUCAUUGUGGUGGCUUAGGAAGUAUUCGAACAAUUUAAUAUGUGGUGCAUCAAUGAUAUCAUUGCCUUUGUCUUA
Long non-coding RNA from Prosopis cineraria, 2200 nucleotides. RefSeq lists it as uncharacterized. The transcript is spliced from 3 exons. Lineage: Eukaryota; Viridiplantae; Streptophyta; Magnoliopsida; Fabales; Fabaceae. The record is from RefSeq and is a predicted model, not a curated record.